GAUGAACGCUGGCGGCGUGCCUAACACAUGCAAGUCGAACGGAGAUUCCGGACGGAAGUUUUCGGAUGGAAGCCUGUAAUUCUUAGUGGCGGACGGGUGAGUAACGCGUGGGCAACCUGCCCUAUACAGGGGGAUAGCAGCUGGAAACGGCUGGUAAGACCGCAUAAGUCGGUUAAAUCGCAUGAUUUGAUCGGGAAAUGAGCAAUCAGGUAUAGGAUGGGCCCGUGUCCGAUUAGCCAGUUGGCAGGGUAAAAGCCUACCAAAGCGACGAUCGGUAGCCGGACUGAGAGGUCGGACGGCCACAUUGGGACUGAGACACGGCCCAAACUCCUACGGGAGGCAGCAGUGGGGGAUAUUGCACAAUGGAGGAAACUCUGAUGCAGCGACGCCGCGUGAGUGAAGAAGUAUUUCGGUAUGUAAAGCUCUAUCAGCAGGGAAGAUGAUGACGGUACCUGACUAAGAAGCCCCGGCUAACUACGUG
Molecule: ribosomal RNA, 481 nt
Filed under: uncultured bacterium
Lineage: Bacteria
Description: partial 16S ribosomal RNA
Rfam family: Bacterial small subunit ribosomal RNA
Source: RNAcentral